CCUACGGGGGGCAGCAGUGGGGAAUAUUGCGCAAUGGGCGAAAGCCUGACGCAGCGACGCCGCGUGAGGGCUGAAGGUCUUCGGAUCGUAAACCUCUGUCAGCAGGGAAGAACGGUCACUGUGCUAAUCAGCAGUGACUUGACGGUACCUGCAAAGGAAGCACCGGCUAACUCCGUGCCAGCAGCCGCGGUAAUACGGAGGGUGCGAGCGUUAAUCGGAAUUACUGGGCGUAAAGCGCUCGUAGGCGGUAUGUCAAGUCAAGGGUGAAAUCCCCGCGCUCAACGUGGGAACUGCCUUUGAAACUGGCAAACUGGAGUGUGUGAGAGGAUAGUGGAAUUCCAGGUGUAGGAGUGAAAUCCGUAGAUAUCUGGAGGAACAUCAGUGGCGAAGGCGACUAUCUGGCACAUAACUGACGCUGAGGAGCGAAAGCGUGGGUAGCAAACAGGAUUAGAUACCCCAGUAGUC
RNAcentral lists this ribosomal RNA (465 nucleotides) under uncultured bacterium. Its description in RNAcentral is "partial 16S ribosomal RNA". It matches the Rfam family "Bacterial small subunit ribosomal RNA", at positions 338 to 795 of the family's 1533-position model. The record is from RNAcentral.